RNAcentral lists this ribosomal RNA (829 nucleotides) under uncultured crenarchaeote. RNAcentral describes it as "bacterial SSU rRNA". It matches the Rfam family "Archaeal small subunit ribosomal RNA", at positions 52 to 859 of the family's 1478-position model. The record is from RNAcentral. Lineage: Archaea; Thermoproteati; Thermoproteota.
UGCUAGUCGCGUGCCUCAGCCAAAACGAGGCACGGCGCACAGCUCAGUAGCACGUGGCUAAUCUGCCCUUAGGACGAGAAUACCCCCGGGAAACUGGGGCUAAUUCGCGAUAGGCGAAGAACACUGGAAUGUGUCUUCACCUAAAAGACCCUACGUUAUGCUCGUAGAAGUCGCCUAAGGAUGAGGCCGCGACCGAUCAGGUUGUUGGUGAGGUAAUGGCUCACCAAGCCUUUUACCGGUGCGGGCCGUGAGAGCGGGAGCCCGGAGAUGGGUACUGAGACAAGGACCCAGGCCCUACGGGGCGCAGCAGUCGCGAAACCUUUGCAAUACACGAAAGUGUGACAGGGCUAUCCCGAGUGCCAUCCGCUGAGGAAGGCUUUUACCCAGUCUAGAAAGCUGGGGGAAUAAGGAGAGGGCAAGUCUGGUGUCAGCCGCCGCGGUAAUACCAGCUCUUCGAGUGGUGUGGAUGUUUAUUGGGCCUAAAGCAUCCGUAGCUGGCUAGGUAAGUCCCUUGUAAAAUCCACCGAAUUAAUCGUUGGAUCGCGGGGGAUACUGCUUGGCUAGGGGACGAGAGAGGCAGACGGUAUUUUCGGGGUAGGGGUGAAAUCCUAUAAUCCCGGGAAGACCACCAGUGGCGAAGGCUGUCUGCUAGAACGCGCCCGACGGUGAGGGAUGAAAGCUGGGGGAGCGAACCGGAUUAGAUACCCGGGUAGUCCCAGCUGUAAACGAUGCAGACUAGGUGUUUGAACGGCCACGUGCCGUUCUAGUGCCGCAGGGAAAGCUGUUAAGUCUGCCGCCUGGGGAGUACGAUCGCAAGAUUGAAACUUAA